RNAcentral lists this ribosomal RNA (726 nucleotides) under Triticum aestivum (bread wheat). RNAcentral describes it as "partial small subunit ribosomal RNA". The record is from RNAcentral. Lineage: Eukaryota; Viridiplantae; Streptophyta; Magnoliopsida; Poales; Poaceae.
AUGGACGAGGACGACCACCACAACAUGCACGUGGUCGAGUUCACCGUCGCCUACUCCGGUGCGGUGCUGGACCAAGGACCUCCACCUCAACAGAUCCUAGCUUGGUUUGUUGAUACGUGCAGAUUGGUGGUCUUUGACUUUGCAACAGAUGUUAUUGUGCAUAUCAGUGCAGUCAGAUUCUACUUGCACAAGCACGUAGUUCUUCAGACACAGAAUGUUCAACUGUCGGGGUCUCUUUGUCAUGCCAUCAAGAUGGGAAGUCCGAUCAUUUGCUGCUCAAAAUCCGACAAAUCAGAGGAGGAAUGCGUGAGAAGCAAGUCUAUCAUCAAUGGCAAGCUCAACAAGAUGAACCAUACAGGCGAGGAAGCUCCCAGGCGCAACAACUCCUCCGUCCAAGUUGUGUGCUGGGCGUCGUCCACCCUGUUGGCCACCAGGACGUACGAGGCGACGAUUGGCAGUCUCGGUGGACCGGACGCCAACAUGCCAAUGAGGCUGAGAGACACAAACAGAACAAUGAAUUCAAGGUUUUGCAGGAUCCAACGUGUCACUAAGGCUGGCUGGUUGAUUGAUGCGGACUACCGCGACCCGGUGGGCAGUGUGCUCUUCAACGACUCGGAGGUGGACUUGGCUGUGAAGACCGGCGACCGUGUCGCACAGAUGAUCAUCCAGAUGUUCACUAUUGUAUCCAUGAAUGCUUCAAGUGUUAAAGAUGGUUCUGUGACCUGA